This 1654-nucleotide long non-coding RNA is filed under the name Bemisia tabaci. Its description in RNAcentral is "lncRNA ENSSSA1UGG008486". Lineage: Eukaryota; Metazoa; Arthropoda; Insecta; Hemiptera; Aleyrodidae. The record is from RNAcentral.
AUGAUAAUCACAGUCGGAACUAUGGUGAACGAGACGAUACCUGUCUUUCUGAUAGCUCAAUAUCGGUGUCCAAACCACCGACGCAACAGCGGAUUAUUAUUAAAUCGAUGCCCGUGUUCGGAACAACAACGGCACUUUCAAAUGACUCUGGAGGGUGUACCCGCGCUUCAUCUCGAAAAGCGUCGAACAACUUUCCCCUGCACUCGCCAGCACCGACCUCGGCAAACGCACGCACCGGAAUGAUUUUCCAAGGUAUUCGAAGCACGGUGCUCGCGGAAUUCAACUCAAUUUUCUCGACUUGAACAUUUUAGUAUUACACUUCUAAAUCCUCCGAAUCGAGCACAUCGUGCAACAAUCCCCUGAAUCACUCGAAGUAUGGAACUUGGUCCACGGUUAUGCAUUAUUUUAUUCUCCGAUACUUUUUUGCGAGGAGGAUUCUCAUCCGUGACCAGAUGAAACUUAAACGCUAUCAAUUACGACGGUUUCUCCUUGCGGUACUCGGACUGGUAUCAUAGCAAAGAGUGUCAAAAGUGCAAAAUGAAGCCUUGAGAAAAUUGUCUCAGUAAGUAGUGCACCGGAGCGAAAAAAUUUAUUGGAAAAAGCCUCCGCUCUUUGUCAAAGCGCAUCAGAUCACCCGAAAGACUCCAGAAUUGUUUCGACGAAUUUUAUUUCAACUAAAUAACAAGAGUCUUGUUUCUUUCCAUGACGCUUGUAUUGGGCCAGACGGCUAUCCUCUACAUUCGGGGUUGCGUUUUGGACACACACCGAAACAAAUUUCAGUGAAGAAACUGCCGGAAAAGCGCGCCACUUUACUUCAAGAUACAGGUCUCGUUGGUUCUCUGGCGAAAUGUCUGUUACGGCUGUUUUUUUCUGAGACAACGUCGAUUUUCGCGCACGUCUUUCUCAUGAGUAUCGUCUUAUACAAAUGAGACAAAUUUUGCUGUUUGAACUACAUCAGUGAUUUAAUCUAAAUAAGAUCGGACAAAUUUUAAAGGAGACUUGAUUUCGAAUAUUUGUGCGUGAAGCACUGAAAAAAAAUUCUCGGCGUUUUUACCAAGGUCCGUUGGUACUAUUUUACCAUCUCACUUUUUUUACCAAUUAUUGGUAAUUUUACCAAGACAGACUGGUAAGCUUACCUAAAAACCGGUAUUUUUACUGUUUUUUUCAGGUAAGAAUACCACUUUUAUUGGUAAUCAAUUCCCGGUAACUUUGCCAUUUUAUCUCGGUAAUUCUACCACAGUCGAUAAAAAAUAUUGGCGUUUUUACCAAGGUCCAGUAAAAUUACCGAGAAGGUUCAUUAAUUUUACCGAGAGUUCUCGGUAGAAUUACCGACACCAUAAAUGAUAAUUUUACCAAGAAAAAACAGGGAUCAAAUAGAACCUUGAAUUCUUGGUAAUUUUACCCUUUUCUUGGUAAAUACACCGAGAUUUUUUUUUCAGUGAAAUGAGACACAUUUUGCUGUUUUAACUACAUCAGUGAUUUAAUCUAAAUUAGAUCGGACAAAUUUUAAAGGAGACUUGAUUUCGAAUAUUUGUGCGUGACGGCUCGGUUCGCUAUCACGGCAGCGCAGUAGAAGCCUGAAAUGUUUUGAAGCUCUCGUAGGAUACUGAUGCAGCGCAUGGAUGUUUAGCUCGCAGCUGGAGCAAUUAACAUU